GAUGAACGCUGGCGGCGUGCCUAAUACAUGCAAGUCGAGCGAACGGACGAGGAGCUUGCUUCUCUGACGUUAGCGGCGGACGGGUGAGUAACACGUGGAUAACCUACCUAUAAGACUGGGAUAACUUCGGGAAACCGGAGCUAAUACCGGAUGAUAUUUUGAACCGCAUGGUUCAAUAGUGAAAGACGGUCUUGCUGUCACUUAUAGAUGGAUCCGCGCUGCAUUAGCUAGUUGGUAAGGUAACGGCUUACCAAGGCAACGAUGCGUAGCCGACCUGAGAGGGUGAUCGGCCACACUGGAACUGAGACACGGUCCAGACUCCUACGGGAGGCAGCAGUAGGGAAUCUUCCGCAAUGGGCGAAAGCCUGACGGAGCAACGCCGCGUGAGUGAUGAAGGUCUUCGGAUCGUAAAACUCUGUUAUUAGGGAAGAACAAAUGUGUAAGUAACUGUGCACAUCUUGACGGUACCUAAUCAGAAAGCCACGGCUAACUACGUG
Molecule: ribosomal RNA, 497 nt
Filed under: uncultured bacterium
Lineage: Bacteria
Description: partial 16S ribosomal RNA
Rfam family: Bacterial small subunit ribosomal RNA
Source: RNAcentral